UGAUUUAAUAGUUAGAAUAUUAAAAAAAUUAUGAAGAUUAUAUUGAAAGAUCUUUACAAAGAGGUAUACAUCCUGAUGAAUUAAACAUAGGCACAACAAAAGCACAAUCAAUAAAAAUGAAAAAAAAUUUAAUACGAUGGGGUGAAAAAGUUACUGAUGGUAUAACAAAAGUAACUUUAACCGAUAAACCAUUAGGUACUGAUUUUGAUCAAGGUAUAGAUAUAAUAAGAGAUAAAGUACAUGAUUUAUUUAAAUUAUGGAGACAUCAUUCAAAAAAAUUAUUAAAAGACUUUGCAAAGUCUUUUGAUCCUAUGUUUAUUAUAAUUAGAAAGAAAAAAAUAAAAGAUAAUAUACCUUCUAUGUAUUUAUUAAAUUCAAAACUCAUUUUAAAAAGAUCAGAUGAAUAUAUAAAUAGAAAAAAAAGUUUAAGUAAUACUAUAAGUAACAUAGAUGAAUAUUAUUAUUCUGCUGAUGAAGAUGAUCCCAAAGCUAAUAGUAUGUUUACUGUUUUGGGAAAUUAUUCAAACGAUUCGACAUAUAAUGACAUAGAUAAUUAUGUAACGUGUGCAGAAUGUGAAGGCUAUCAUAAGGAGAAUGAUAUAAAAAAAAAGACAAAAAAUAAUAAAAAACAUAAUGUUAAGUUGGAAGGAGUACACGAACAAACUAUUCAUGUCGGGGAAAAUAACACAAAGGUAUCGUAUGACGAUUUACAAAUAUUUAGUGAUGCAAUAGAAACAAAAAAGGAAGCUGAACAUAAUAGUUUUAUUUGUUUUAAUGAAAAAUCUAACUUAAUAAAAAAUAUUAACAAAAAUAGUUAUGUGGAGAAUGUAUUUAAUUUUUAUAAAAAUAAAACAAUUUAUCCCGACAUUAUUGAUGACGAUAGUAAUGCAAUAUAUCAUGAGGUAUUUAACGAUGUAAAUAACGAGGUAUAUAAUAAGGAACAUACAGAAGGACAUGAUGAAGAGUAUAACAUAAAAAAUAAUAUUAACACAAAUAAAAGUACUAUGAAUGAUAAAAACGCAAGUGGUAUUAGUACAAGUGGUAUCAGUACAAGUGGUAUCAGUACAAGUGGUAUCAGUACAAGAGGUAUCAACACAACUGAUAACAAUAAUUUAAAUAAAAAAGAUAAAAAGAAUACUACACAUUGUAUGAAUGAACAUAUAUCUGUCGAUCACGGUUUUAGUGAUAAUAAAUAUAAUCAUAUCAUAGUAACUAAAAGAGAUUCUAACUAUUAUGGUACAUGCUCUACUAAUGAUAGUACAAAUUAUACUCCAACUGAAGAAAACUCCACUUCAAAUGAAAAAAACUGUACUAUAAAUGAAGAAAAUGGCAUCUCUAAUGAAGAAAAUGGCAUCUCUAAUGAAGAAAAUGGCAUCUCUAAUGAAGAAAAUCGCAUCCCAAGUGAAGAAAAUCUCAUCCCAAGUGAAGAAAAUCACAACCCAAAUGAAAAACAAUUAAAAAUGUUUGAAACAAAUACUACUGUUACUACAGCCACAAAUAAAAGUGACGAGAAUUGUGAUAAUGCAACUAUAGAGGAUAAAAAUAUGAAACAGGAAGGAUCAAACAAUGAUGAACUAAUACUAGAAAAUAAUAUCAACUCACAGGAACAAAAAAAAAUAGAAAUAUAAAUACACCUCCAAGAACAGUAAUUUAUGCUGAUGGUGUAUUCGAUAUGUUACAUUUAGGACAUAUGAAACAGUUAGAACAAGCAAAAAAAUGUUUGAAAAUACAUGUUUAAUAGUAGGUGUUACUAGCGAUAAUGAAACUAAAUUAUUUAAAGGUCAAAUCGUACAAACACUAGAAGAAAGAACUGAAACAUUAAGACAUAUUAGAUGGGUUGAUGAAAUCAUUUCACCUUGUCCAUGGGUAAUAACACCAGAAUUUGUUGAAAAAUAUAACAUAGAUUAUGUAGCUCAUGAUGAUAUACCAUAUGCUAGUAAUCAAAAAAAUUCUAAUAAAAAAAAAAAAAAAUAAUAAAAAUAAUUCA
This 1987-nucleotide long non-coding RNA is filed under the name Piliocolobus tephrosceles (Ugandan red Colobus). RNAcentral's name for it is "lncRNA (ENSPTEG00000015019.1)". Lineage: Eukaryota; Metazoa; Chordata; Mammalia; Primates; Cercopithecidae. The record is from RNAcentral.